This 274-nucleotide ribosomal RNA is filed under the name uncultured bacterium. Its description in RNAcentral is "partial 16S ribosomal RNA". It matches the Rfam family "Bacterial small subunit ribosomal RNA", at positions 523 to 796 of the family's 1533-position model. The record is from RNAcentral.
AUACGGAGGGUGCAAGCGUUAAUCGGAAUUACUGGGCGUAAAGCGUGCGUAGGUGGUUUGUUAAGUUAGAUGUGAAAGCCCCGGGCUCAACCUGGGAACUGCAUUUGAAACUGGCAUACUAGAGUAUAGGAGAGGAAAGUGGAAUUUCAGGUGUAGCGGUGAAAUGCGUAGAUAUCUGAAGGAACAUCAAUGGCGAAGGCAGCUUUCUGGACUAAUACUGACACUGAGGUACGAAAGCGUGGGUAGCAAACAGGAUUAGAAACCCCUGUAGUCC